UACGAAGGGGGCAAGCGUUGUUCGGAUUUACUGGGCGUAAAGGGCGCGUAGGCGGAACGACAAGUCAGAGGUGAAAGCCCUGGGCUCAACCCGGGAAUUGCCUUUGGGACUGCCGUUCUAGAGUUCGGAAGAGGAUGGCGGAAUACCCAGUGUAGAGGUGAAAUUCGUAGAUAUUGGGUAGAACGCCGGUGGCGAAGGCGGCCAUCUGGUCCGACACUGACGCUGAGGCGAGAAAGCGUGGGGAGCAAACAGG
RNAcentral lists this ribosomal RNA (253 nucleotides) under uncultured bacterium. Its description in RNAcentral is "partial 16S ribosomal RNA". It matches the Rfam family "Bacterial small subunit ribosomal RNA", at positions 524 to 776 of the family's 1533-position model. The record is from RNAcentral.